UACGGAGGGUGCAAGCGUUAUCCGGAUUCACUGGGUUUAAAGGGUGCGUAGGUGGGCAAGUAAGUCAGUGGUGAAAUCUCCGGGCUUAACCCGUAAACUGCCAUUGAUACUAUUUGUCUUGAAUACUGUGGAGGUCAGCGGAAUAUGUCAUGUAGCGGUGAAAUGCUUAGAUAUGACAUAGAACACCAAUUGCGAAGGCAGCUGGCUACACAAAUAUUGACACUGAGGCACGAAAGCGUGGGGAUCAAACAGG
RNAcentral lists this ribosomal RNA (253 nucleotides) under uncultured bacterium. RNAcentral describes it as "partial 16S ribosomal RNA". It matches the Rfam family "Bacterial small subunit ribosomal RNA", at positions 524 to 776 of the family's 1533-position model. The record is from RNAcentral.